Molecule: ribosomal RNA, 303 nt
Filed under: uncultured bacterium
Lineage: Bacteria
Description: bacterial SSU rRNA
Rfam family: Bacterial small subunit ribosomal RNA
Source: RNAcentral
GAUGAACGCUAGCGGCAGGCCUAAUACAUGCAAGCCGAACGGCAAGAUUUUCAGCAAUGGAAAUCCUAGAGUGGCGCAAGGGUGCGUAACACGUAUGCAAUCUGCCCUCAACAGGAGGAUAGCUCCCCGAAAGGGGAAUUAAGACUCCAUAAGAUCUUAGAGUGGCAUCACUUAGAGAUUAAACUACCAGGGGUUGAGGAUGAGCAUGCGCAUGAUUAGUUAGUUGGCGGGGUAACGGCCCACCAAGACGAUGAUCAUUAGGGGGAACUGAGAGGUUGAUCCCCCACACUGGCACUGAGAUAC